This 784-nucleotide ribosomal RNA is filed under the name uncultured Pelagibacteraceae bacterium. RNAcentral describes it as "bacterial SSU rRNA". It matches the Rfam family "Bacterial small subunit ribosomal RNA", at positions 53 to 884 of the family's 1533-position model. Lineage: Bacteria; Pseudomonadati; Pseudomonadota; Alphaproteobacteria; Candidatus Pelagibacterales; Candidatus Pelagibacteraceae. The record is from RNAcentral.
ACAUGCAAGUCGAACGCAGUAGCAAUACUGAGUGGCAAACGGGUGAGUAUAAUGUGGGAAUCUGCCUUUUGGUUUGGAAUAACACGAGGAAACUUGUGCUAAUACCGGAUAAGCCUUCACAGGGAAAGUUUUAUACGCCAAAAGAUGAGCCCGCACUUGAUUAGAUAGUUGGUGAGGUAAAAGCUCACCAAGUCAACGAUCAAUAGCUGGUCUGAGAGGACGAUCAGCCACAUUGGGACUGAGACACGGCCCAGACUCCUACGGGAGGCAGCAGUAAGGAAUCUUGCACAAUGGGGGAAACCCUGAUGCAGCGAUGCCGCGUGAGUGAAGAAGGCCUUUGGGUUGUAAAACUCUUUCGUCGGGGAAGAAAAUGACUGUACCCGAAUAAGAAGGUCCGGCUAACUUCGUGCCAGCAGCCGCGGUAAUACGAAGGGACCUAGCGUAGUUCGGAAUUACUGGGCUUAAAGAGCUCGUAGGUGGUUAAAAAAGUUGAUGGUGAAAUCCCAAGGCUCAACCUUGGAACAGCCAUCAAAACUUUUUAGCUAGAGUAUGAUAGAGGAAAGUGGAAUUUCUAGUGUAGAGGUGAAAUUCGUAGAUAUUAGAAAGAACACCAAAUGCGAAGGCAACUUUCUGGAUCAUUACUGACACUGAGGAGCGAAAGCAUGGGUAGCGAAGAGGAUUAGAUACCCUCGUAGUCCAUGCCGUAAACGAUGUGUGCUAGACGUUGGAAACAUAGUUUUCAGUGUCGCAGCGAAAGCAUUAAGCACACCGCCUGGGGAGUACG